GACGAACGCUGGCGGCGUGCUUAACACAUGCAAGUCGAGCGGUAAGGCCCUUUCGGGGGUACACGAGCGGCGAACGGGUGAGUAACACGUGGGUGACCUGCCCUCAGCUCUGGGAUAAGCCUGGGAAACCGGGUCUAAUACCGGAUAUGACUCCAUGACGCAUGUUGUGGGGUGGAAAGCCUUGUGCGGCUGAGGAUGGGCCCGCGGCCUAUCAGCUUGUUGGUGGGGUGAUGGCCUACCAAGGCGACGACGGGUAGCCGGCCUGAGAGGGCGACCGGCCACACUGGGACUGAGACACGGCCCAGACUCCUACGGGAGGCAGCAGUGGGGAAUCUUGCGCAAUGGGCGAAAGCCUGACGCAGCGACGCCGCGUGGGGAAGAAGGCCUCGG
This 390-nucleotide ribosomal RNA is filed under the name uncultured bacterium. RNAcentral describes it as "bacterial SSU rRNA". It matches the Rfam family "Bacterial small subunit ribosomal RNA", at positions 28 to 420 of the family's 1533-position model. The record is from RNAcentral.